RNAcentral lists this ribosomal RNA (502 nucleotides) under Aleyrodes proletella. RNAcentral's name for it is "partial large subunit ribosomal RNA". Lineage: Eukaryota; Metazoa; Arthropoda; Insecta; Hemiptera; Aleyrodidae. The record is from RNAcentral.
AGUUUAAAGAAAAAUAUUGUAAAUAAAUUCUGCUCAAUGAAAUUAAUUAAAUAGCCGCAGUAAAUUAACUGUGCUAAGGUAGCAUAAUAAUUAGUUUUUUAAUUAAAAACUAGAAUGAAAGAGAAAAUGAAAAAUUAACUUUUUAAUUAUAAUAAAUAAAUAUAAAUUAAUUUAUAAGUUAAAAAUCUUAUAUAAAAUAAAAAGACAAGAAGACCCUUUAGAAUUUUAUAAAUAAAAAAAUUUAAUAAUUAUAAAUUUGAAUAUUUAUUAAGUUGGGGAGACUAUGAAAUAUUAAAAACUUUCACUUUUUUAAAACAAAAAUAAAUGAAUCUAUAAAUAUCCAGUUAACAGCCGAAUAAAAAACAAAUUACCUAAGGGAUAACAGCGUAAAAUUUCUAAAAAGAUCAAAUUUACAGAAUAAAUUACGACCUCGAUGUUGGAUUAAGAAAAAAUUAUAAAGAAGAAUUUAUAAAAAUUAGGUCUGUUCGACCUUUAAUCUCUU